This 467-nucleotide ribosomal RNA is filed under the name uncultured bacterium. RNAcentral describes it as "bacterial SSU rRNA". It matches the Rfam family "Bacterial small subunit ribosomal RNA", at positions 331 to 795 of the family's 1533-position model. The record is from RNAcentral.
CCAGACUCCUACGGGAGGCAGCAGUGAGGAAUAUUGGUCAAUGGGCGAGAGCCUGAACCAGCCAAGUCGCGUGAAGGAUGACGGCCCUACGGGUUGUAAACUUCUUUUGUCAGGGAGCAAUUGGGUCCACGCGUGGGCUUAGCGAGAGUACCCGAAGAAAAAGCAUCGGCUAACUCCGUGCCAGUAGCCGCGGUAAUACGGAGGAUGCGAGCGUUAUCCGGAUUUAUUGGGUUUAAAGGAUGCGCAGGCGGAGGUGCAAGUCAGCGGUCAAAUGUCGGGGCUCAACCCCGGCCUGCCGUUGAAACUGGCGGCCUCGAGUGGGCGAGAAGUAUGCGGAAUGCGUGGUGUAGCGGUGAAAUGCAUAGAUAUCACGCAGAACUCCGAUUGCGAAGGCAGCAUACCGGCGCCCAACUGACGCUGAAGCACGAAAGCGUGGGUAUCGAACAGGAUUAGAUACCCGGGUAGGA